CCUACGUGAGGCAGCAGUGGGGAAUAUUGCGCAAUGGGCGAAAGCCUGACGCAGCGACGCCGCGUGAGGGAUGAAGGUCUUCGGAUCGUAAACCUCUGUCAGCAGGGAAGAACGGUCACUGUGCUAAUCAGCAGUGAAUUGACGGUACCUGCAAAGGCAGCACCGGCUAACUCCGUGCCAGCAGCCGCGGUAAUACGGAGGGUGCGAGCGUUAAUAGGAAUUACUGGGCGUAAAGCGCUCGUAGGCGGUAUGUCAAGUCAAGGGUGAAAUCCCCGCGCUCAACGUGGGAACUGCCUUUGAAACUGGCAAACUGGAGUGUGUGAGAGGAUAGUGGAAGUCCAGGUGUAGGAGUGAAAUCCGUAGAUAUCUGGAGGAACAUCAGUGGCGAAGGCGACUAUCUGGCACAUAACUGACGCUGAGGAGCGAAAGCGUGGGUAGCAAACAGGAUUAGAUACCCGAGUAGUC
Molecule: ribosomal RNA, 465 nt
Filed under: uncultured bacterium
Lineage: Bacteria
Description: partial 16S ribosomal RNA
Rfam family: Bacterial small subunit ribosomal RNA
Source: RNAcentral